Molecule: ribosomal RNA, 442 nt
Filed under: uncultured bacterium
Lineage: Bacteria
Description: partial 16S ribosomal RNA
Rfam family: Bacterial small subunit ribosomal RNA
Source: RNAcentral
CCUACGGGCGGCAGCAGUGGGGGAUAUUGGGCAAUGGGCGCAAGCCUGACCCAGCAACGCCGCGUGAAGGAAGACGGCUUUCGGGUUGUAAACUUCUUUUAGGGGGGAAGAGCAGAAGCCGUUACCCCUUGAAUAAGCCACGGCUAACUACGUGCCAGAAGCCGCGGUAAUACGUAGGUGGCAAGCGUUGUCCGGAUUUACUGGGUGUAAAGGGCGUGAAGCCGGCGAGCCAAGUCAGAGGUGAAAUCCACGGGCUCAACCCGUGAACUGCAUUUGAAACUGUUUCCCUUGAGUGUCGGAGAGGUAAGCGGAAUUCCUGGUGUAGCGGUGAAAUGCGUAGAUAUAAGGAAGAACACCAGUGGCGAAGGCGGAUUACUGGACGACAACUGACGGUGAGGCGCGAAAGCGUGGGGAGCAAACAGGAUUAGAUACCCGAGUAGUC